Molecule: transfer RNA, 72 nt
Filed under: Brevinema andersonii
Lineage: Bacteria; Pseudomonadati; Spirochaetota; Spirochaetia; Brevinematales; Brevinemataceae
Rfam family: tRNA
About the family: Transfer RNA (tRNA) molecules are approximately 80 nucleotides in length. Their secondary structure includes four short double-helical elements and three loops (D, anti-codon, and T loops). Further hydrogen bonds mediate the characteristic L-shaped molecular structure. tRNAs have two regions of fundamental functional importance: the anti-codon, which is responsible for specific mRNA codon recognition, and the 3' end, to which the tRNAs corresponding amino acid is attached (by aminoacyl-tRNA synthetases). tRNAs cope with the degeneracy of the genetic code in two manners: having more than one tRNA (with a specific anti-codon) for a particular amino acid; and 'wobble' base-pairing, i.e. permitting non-standard base-pairing at the 3rd anti-codon position.
Source: Rfam by way of RNAcentral
GCGGGAGUAGCUCAGUGGUAGAGCAUCGCCUUGCCAUGGCGAGGGCCGAGGGUUCAAAUCCCUUCUCCCGCU